Small nucleolar RNA from Anabas testudineus (climbing perch), 75 nucleotides. The record is from Ensembl. NCBI's taxonomy places the organism in Eukaryota, Metazoa, Chordata, Actinopteri, Anabantiformes, Anabantidae.
AUCUGGAAGUGAUGAGUUAUUUCUACCGCCCCAGUCUGAAGAUUCAUGACUGAUUGGUAUCCCCUCUGAUCAGGA